AAAUGACCAAAAUACCCCUAGAAC
This 24-nucleotide microRNA is filed under the name Oryza sativa (Asian cultivated rice). Its description in RNAcentral is "osa-miR5162". Lineage: Eukaryota; Viridiplantae; Streptophyta; Magnoliopsida; Poales; Poaceae. The record is from miRBase by way of RNAcentral.